This 252-nucleotide long non-coding RNA is filed under the name Mytilus galloprovincialis (Mediterranean mussel). The record is from RNAcentral. Lineage: Eukaryota; Metazoa; Mollusca; Bivalvia; Mytilida; Mytilidae.
UGCCAAACUAUACUUCCAACCCCUCCCCCUUAACAACCAUAAAUCAUUUGAGAAUUUUGUGUAGUGGUGGCCAAAACUUCUUCAACAGGUAUCAGUAGUAAUUUUGAAAUUUCAUGAGCUACAAAGAUGACUGUAUAUGGGUUAGCAAUUUCUUCUUUAUAGCGGAUAUAUGGUGCAUCAGAUUCCAAAACUAUUCUGUCGAUUCCUUUAUUGCAAAUGAAUUGUUUGAUGGUUGGAUAUUUGUUGGUAAAG